This 231-nucleotide ribosomal RNA is filed under the name uncultured bacterium. Its description in RNAcentral is "partial 16S ribosomal RNA". It matches the Rfam family "Bacterial small subunit ribosomal RNA", at positions 103 to 334 of the family's 1533-position model. The record is from RNAcentral.
CGGGUGAGUAACACGUAUCCAACCUGCCGUCUACUCUUGGACAGCCUUCUGAAAGGAAGAUUAAUACAAGAUGGCAUCAUGAGUCCGCAUGUUCACAUGAUUAAAGGUAUUCCGGUAGACGAUGGGGAUGCAUUCCAUUAGAUAGUAGGCGGGGUAACGGCCCACCUAGUCUUCGAUGGAUAGGGGUUCUGAGAGGAAGGUCCCCCACAUUGGAACUGAGACACGGUCCAA